CUGUUUGAAGCACCAAUGUUCUGCAAAGCCAUCUUUGAUUAAGAGGUUGUGCUCAAGACUAUCACUGAUACAAACUGAUAUUGCCUGUUUGGAGACUUUCAGUAACAAAGGACUUGAUUUCUUUGGUCAGCAAAGGUUGCAUCAACAAGCAACCGUGAAGAUCAGCGUGUCUGCUAAAUGAAACAAGAUGCAUACAGAUGAUUUUCUGGUCCAGUAAAGGUCGUUCCUUUUCCCGUGAGAGCAGACAAUGAUUUCCCA
Molecule: long non-coding RNA, 258 nt
Filed under: Linum usitatissimum (flax)
Lineage: Eukaryota; Viridiplantae; Streptophyta; Magnoliopsida; Malpighiales; Linaceae
Description: long non-coding RNA (LUSI_LNC000625)
Source: RNAcentral